AUAGACAACCCAAGAGGGGGGGUGAAUUGGGUUUUAAAUUAAUUUAGAUAUUUAAAACUUUAAGGAUGAUUAAUUAAAAACUAUUGCAAGUUAUUUAAUUAAUGCUAAGUGCUGUGAGUGAUGUGAGAGGAAGAAGAGAAGAGACAAUCCAAUGCAAACACAGAGUUUUAUAGUGGUUCGGAGCUACCCCUUGCUCCUACGUCCACUCCCUAAGUCUCUUUUGGGAAUUCACUAUAACCUCCUUGGAUUACAGCUGGUUGUUUUGCAAGCUCACAACCAAACUUGUUGUUUUACGAGCUCACAACGAACUCGGUCGGUUUUCCCAGGCUCACCGACUAGAACCAACCCCGAUUGUUUUUCCGGGCUCACAAUCAAACCCUUACACACGUUGGUUUUAACUUGGCUCACCAACCAAC
This 416-nucleotide long non-coding RNA is filed under the name Phoenix dactylifera (date palm). RNAcentral describes it as "long non-coding RNA (PDAC_LNC005668)". Lineage: Eukaryota; Viridiplantae; Streptophyta; Magnoliopsida; Arecales; Arecaceae. The record is from RNAcentral.